RNAcentral lists this ribosomal RNA (492 nucleotides) under uncultured bacterium. RNAcentral's name for it is "partial 16S ribosomal RNA". It matches the Rfam family "Bacterial small subunit ribosomal RNA", at positions 29 to 507 of the family's 1533-position model. The record is from RNAcentral.
AGUGAACGCUGGCGGUAGGCCUAACACAUGCAAGUCGAACGGCAGCACAGUAAGAGCUUGCUCUUACGGGUGGCGAGUGGCGGACGGGUGAGGAAUACAUCGGAAUCUACUUUUUCGUGGGGGAUAACGUAGGGAAACUUACGCUAAUACCGCAUACGACCUACGGGUGAAAGCAGGGGAUCUUCGGACCUUGCGCGAUUGAAUGAGCCGAUGUCGGAUUAGCUAGUUGGCGGGGUAAAGGCCCACCAAGGCGACGCUCCGUAGCUGGUCUGAGAGGAUGAUCAGCCACACUGGAACUGAGACACGGUCCAGACUCCUACGGGAGGCAGCAGUGGGGAAUAUUGGACAAUGGGCGCAAGCCUGAUCCAGCCAUACCGCGUGGGUGAAGAAGGCCUUCGGGCUGUAAAGCCCUUUUGUUGGGAAAGAAAAGCAGCAGGUUAAUACCCCGCUGUUCUGACGGUACCCAAAGAAUAAGCACCGGCUAACUUCGUG